CAGGCCUAACACAUGCAAGUCGAGCGGAAACGAGUUAUCUGAACCUUCGGGGAACGAUAACGGCGUCGAGCGGCGGACGGGUGAGUAAUGCCUAGGAAAUUGCCCUGAUGUGGGGGAUAACCAUUGGAAACGAUGGCUAAUACCGCAUAAUACCUACGGGUCAAAGAGGGGGACCUUUGGGCCUCUCGCGUCAGGAUAUGCCUAGGUGGGAUUAGCUAGUUGGUGAGGUAAUGGCUCACCAAGGCGACGAUCCCUAGCUGGUCUGAGAGGAUGAUCAGCCACACUGGAACUGAGACACGGUCCAGACUCCUACGGGAGGCAGCAGUGGGGAAUAUUGCACAAUGGGCGCAAGCCUGAUGCAGCCAUGCCGCGUGUG
This 376-nucleotide ribosomal RNA is filed under the name Vibrio harveyi. RNAcentral's name for it is "bacterial SSU rRNA". It matches the Rfam family "Bacterial small subunit ribosomal RNA", at positions 43 to 405 of the family's 1533-position model. The record is from RNAcentral. Lineage: Bacteria; Pseudomonadati; Pseudomonadota; Gammaproteobacteria; Vibrionales; Vibrionaceae.